AAAAUAAAUAGGCAAAGCUGCCGAAAGGCAGUGACGCAAAGCUAAAGGGGCUAUAUCGUAUAGGGAGUAUGAUCGUGCCAGCCAGCUGCCUCA
This is a non-coding RNA of Anaerostipes sp. CAG:276, 93 nucleotides long. Lineage: Bacteria; Bacillati; Bacillota; Clostridia; Lachnospirales; Lachnospiraceae. The record is from Rfam.